GUCAGAGUGGCUCAGUGGUUUGAAUGUUGGACUAGGACUCCAGGAGACCAGGGUGCGAAUCCCAGUUCAGCCA
Molecule: non-coding RNA, 73 nt
Organism: Phrynosoma platyrhinos (Desert horned lizard)
Lineage: Eukaryota; Metazoa; Chordata; Lepidosauria; Squamata; Phrynosomatidae
Source: the annotation of a GenBank genome assembly